RNAcentral lists this ribosomal RNA (228 nucleotides) under uncultured bacterium. RNAcentral describes it as "partial 16S ribosomal RNA". It matches the Rfam family "Bacterial small subunit ribosomal RNA", at positions 103 to 334 of the family's 1533-position model. The record is from RNAcentral.
CGGGUGAGUAAUGUCUGGGAAACUGCCUGAUGGAGGGGGAUAACUACUGGAAACGGUAGCUAAUAUCGCAUAACGUCGCAAGACCAAAGAGGGGGACCUUCGGGCCUCUUGCCAUCGGAUGUGCCCAGAUGGGAUUAGCUAGUAGGUGGGGUAACGGCUCACCUAGGCGACGAUCCCUAGCUGGUCUGAGAGGAUGACCAGCCACACUGGAACUGAGACACGGUCCAG